UACGUAGGGUCCGAGCGUUGUCCGGAAUUAUUGGGCGUAAAGGGCUCGUAGGCGGUUUGUCGCGUCGGGAGUGAAAACACGGGGCUUAACCCCGUGCCUGCUUCCGAUACGGGCAGACUAGAGGUAUGCAGGGGAGAACGGAAUUCCUGGUGUAGCGGUGAAAUGCGCAGAUAUCAGGAGGAACACCGAUGGCGAAGGCAGGUCUCUGGGACACUACUGACGCUGAGAAGCGAAAGCAUGGGGAGCGAACAGG
Molecule: ribosomal RNA, 253 nt
Filed under: uncultured bacterium
Lineage: Bacteria
Description: partial 16S ribosomal RNA
Rfam family: Bacterial small subunit ribosomal RNA
Source: RNAcentral